CCAAUAGCGUAUAUUAAAGUUGUUGCAGUUAAAAAGCUCGUAGUUGAAUUUCGGGAUCAGCAUGUUGGUCGUGCUUCGGUACGUACUGUCAUUACUGGUUCCUCCCUUCUGAAGAACCGCGAUGUCAUUAAUUUGGUGUCGUGGGGAAUCAGGACUGUUACUUUGAAAAAAUUAGAGUGUUUAAAGCAGGCACACGCUUGAAUACAUUAGCAUGGAAUAAUGAAAUAGGACGUUUGAUUCUAUUUUGUUGGUUUCUAGGAUCGACGUAAUGAUUAAUAGGGAUAGUUGGGGGCAUUAGUAUUCAAUUGUCAGAGGUGAAAUUCUUGGAUUUAUUGAAGACUAACUACUGCGAAAGCAUUUGCCAAGGAUGUUUUCAUUAAUCAAGAACGAAAGUUAGGGGAUCGAAGACGAUCAGAUACCGUCGUAGUCUUAACCAUAAACUAUGCCGACUAGGGAUCGGAUGAUGUUAUUUUUGAUGACUCAUUCGGCGCCUUACG
RNAcentral lists this ribosomal RNA (497 nucleotides) under uncultured Glomeromycotina. RNAcentral describes it as "partial small subunit ribosomal RNA". It matches the Rfam family "Eukaryotic small subunit ribosomal RNA", at positions 591 to 1092 of the family's 1831-position model. Lineage: Eukaryota; Fungi; Glomeromycota. The record is from RNAcentral.